Molecule: ribosomal RNA, 164 nt
Filed under: uncultured bacterium
Lineage: Bacteria
Description: partial 16S rRNA
Rfam family: Bacterial small subunit ribosomal RNA
Source: RNAcentral
UAGGGAAUCUUCCACAAUGGGCGAAAGCCUGAUGGAGCAACGCCGCGUGUGUGAUGAAGGGUUUCUGCUCGUAAAACACUAUUGUAAGAGAAGAAUGACAUUGAGAGUAACUGUUCAAUGUGUGACGGUAUCUUACCAGAAAGGAACGGCUAAAUACGUGCCUG